CGGAAACAGGAAAUGUCAGGCAGCCGUGGCCUCCAAGCAGGACCCGGAAGUGUGGCGUUUCUUUGUGUUCUUCGGCGAACUCUUAAGGAAUAACUGUAGCUUGCGAGCUCAGGCGGGACCAUGCUGACUCGGCUGAAAGCAAAAUCAGAGGGGAAGCUUGCAAAACAGCUAUGCAGAGUUGUGCUGGAUCAGUUUGACAAACAGUAUUCGAAAGAACUUGGGGAUUGCUGGAGUAAAGUAAGGUCAGUAUGAUUCAUCCCUUGAUAUUUUGUGAGAGACCAGUGGAAGUAUGAGGUAAAUACCUCCUUGGUGAGAGCGGUCCAGCAAGAGCGUGGUAUAUAUUUUACAGGUAAAGGAAUCCCUCUCCUGCUUGAGCUGUAGAAAUGAGGGACAAAUCAAAAACAGAAGACAUAGUGAAAGUAAGGUUGAAUACCUUCUCAAUUUUAUCUGUAAAAUGGGAAUGUGCUAUAUUUUAAAACAAUGCUGUAAUAAAAAUCCUAACUUUGGAGAAUUCUAACGUUGUGAAAUUCAGAAGAUAACAAGUCCUUAAAGUCAGUGUUCUCUCUCUUGGCUAAAAGUCAGGCUUUAUUGGGCAAUUAUGAUCACCAUUACAUCUGUAUCUGGAACAGGUGCACAUGGACAGACCAAUCUAAAAGCUAAGUGGCCUUCAUGAUGGCUGUGGUUCAAAUGGUGGGGAGGGAAGGCAGUUGACGUUAGGUUGGUAGAUUGUGGGUUGUCUUUUGACCUCCAUGCUUAGCCAUACUCUAUCCCUGAAAUAAAUUCAACAAUUUCUAAAGUGACAAAUAUGACUUGUGUUUCGGUGAGUUUUUGUUUUCGAUCAGAAUGGUAGUGAAGAGGGUUUUGUAUGGGAUGCAUGAUUGGUAUAUAUGAUACCCUCUAGAAUACAAAGACAAUAUAGUCCUGUCUAGUUUACAUAAGUCUGUUCAUGGGAGAGGUACAAGGGAGGGGUACCUUAAACAUUCCAGAAACAUGCAUCAAUAAUAGGGCAUUUUAUUUAUUGCAGUGUGUGGGUGCCAGUGAAAGCCACUGGUGACUUUGGAAUUAACUUGGCAAAAGGACCAGAUAUUCAGGGCUGAGAGAAGGUUGCCAAUCUGUUUUGUACAGCUGAGAUGAAAAAGUGGGAUGACUGGAUAGUCUGGAACUUAGACAAUAAUGUUUCAAUUAUACCAUCUCUUCUGAGAUGAACUCAGUAGGUAUGUCUUUUCAUAGAACAACUUAAGCAUAUUUUGGAACAAAGAUGAAGUCUUAAUAAACUCAAGUGGGUCAAAGAUGAUUUUAGGAC
RNAcentral lists this long non-coding RNA (1303 nucleotides) under Rattus norvegicus (Norway rat). RNAcentral describes it as "long non-coding RNA NONRATT032112". The record is from RNAcentral. Lineage: Eukaryota; Metazoa; Chordata; Mammalia; Rodentia; Muridae.